Molecule: long non-coding RNA, 230 nt
Filed under: Gossypium barbadense (sea-island cotton)
Lineage: Eukaryota; Viridiplantae; Streptophyta; Magnoliopsida; Malvales; Malvaceae
Description: long non-coding RNA (GBAR_LNC005882)
Source: RNAcentral
AAUUGUCGGUCUUGUCCACAUGGACGAUGUUGAAGCUCCUACACCGACCGUUUUCUCCAUAAUCUUUCAAUAUACCUAAGGAAAUCUUUUCUGAUGUGGAAGAUCAGUUUAAACUGCAACCACAGAGCAUACUACGAUUAACCUUCGGCUCUUGAUACCACUUGUAGUUCCAAUAGGGUCGGAAGCGUGUAAAUUAUUGUACUAAAAAAUCACACAAAGUUCAAUUCCCA